This 447-nucleotide ribosomal RNA is filed under the name uncultured bacterium. RNAcentral describes it as "bacterial SSU rRNA". It matches the Rfam family "Bacterial small subunit ribosomal RNA", at positions 355 to 825 of the family's 1533-position model. The record is from RNAcentral.
UGGGGAAUUGUUCGCAAUGGGCGCAAGCCUGACGACGCAACGCCGCGUGAAGGAUGAAGUAUUUCGGUAUGUAAACUUCGAAAGAAUAGGAAGAAUAAAUGACGGUACUAUUUAUAAGGUCCGGCUAACUACGUGCCAGCAGCCGCGGUAAUACGUAGGGACCAAGCGUUGUUCGGAUUUACUGGGCGUAAAGGGCGCGUAGGCGGUGUGUCAAGUCAGUUGUGAAAUCUCCGAGCUUAACUCGGAACGGUCAACUGAUACUGUCACACUAGAGUACAGAAGGGGCAAUCGGAAUUCUUGGUGUAGCGGUGAAAUGCGUAGAUAUCAAGAGGAACACCUGAGGCGAAGGCGGGUUGCUGGGCUGAUACUGACGCUGAGGCGCGAAAGCUAGGGUAGCAAACGGGAUUAGAUACCCCCGUAGUCCCUGAGCGGGCUGGCAAGGCGCAU